AAUUAAAAACCAAUUGUUCAGAGAACCAUUGAUGGUCUUUCCACCAGUAAGGAUCUUUUUUUACAUGAAAAUAUUAAAAAUUUGGGUUUUAAAUGGCAAUUGAACCGUCAAAUGACAGCUUAUUGAACGUUGAUUCCAAAAAUGUAUGGUUUCCAUGGAAAAAGAUAUAGAUAAGGGAGAUACUUGUUUACUUCCGGUUCAAACGAUGUAAUUUCCGGUAUAGUUUGAUAGUUUAAUUGACACUGAUUCCAAAAAUAUAUGGUUCUAUACACUUUUACAUUUAUUUAGAACAAAAAAUAGCUACUUCCGGUAAACAAAAGGUCACUUCCGGUUGGCUUUUACUUGGUCACAUUGCUUGCAACCUAUUGCAAAAAGUCCCAUGUCUUUAUCAUGUAUACAUAUAAGGUAAAAGCAAAGGUCAAAAUCUAGAACGUUAAUUUUGCCAAUGACCUUGAGCUCAAUUUCAAGGUCAUCAACCAAG
This 481-nucleotide long non-coding RNA is filed under the name Mytilus galloprovincialis (Mediterranean mussel). The record is from RNAcentral. Lineage: Eukaryota; Metazoa; Mollusca; Bivalvia; Mytilida; Mytilidae.